Molecule: ribosomal RNA, 253 nt
Filed under: uncultured bacterium
Lineage: Bacteria
Description: partial 16S ribosomal RNA
Rfam family: Bacterial small subunit ribosomal RNA
Source: RNAcentral
UACGGAGGGUGCAAGCGUUAAUCGGAAUUACUGGGCGUAAAGCGCACGCAGGCGGUUGGAUUAGUUAGAUGUGUAAGCCCCGGGCUCAAACUGGGAAUUGCAUUUAAAACUGUCCAGCUAGAGUCUUGUGGAGGGGGGUAGAAUUCCAGGUGUAGCGGUGAAAUGCGUAGAGAUCUGGAGGAAUACCGGUGGCGAAGGCGGCCCCCUGGACAAAGACUGACGCUCAGGUGCGAAAGCGUGGGGAGCAAACAGG